This 749-nucleotide ribosomal RNA is filed under the name Microbacterium aurantiacum. RNAcentral's name for it is "partial 16S ribosomal RNA". It matches the Rfam family "Bacterial small subunit ribosomal RNA", at positions 64 to 826 of the family's 1533-position model. The record is from RNAcentral. Lineage: Bacteria; Bacillati; Actinomycetota; Actinomycetes; Micrococcales; Microbacteriaceae.
GAACGGUGAAGCCAAGCUUGCUUGGUGGAUCAGUGGCGAACGGGUGAGUAACACGUGAGCAACCUGCCCUGGACUCUGGGAUAAGCGCUGGAAACGGCGUCUAAUACUGGAUAUGAGCCUUCACCGCAUGGUGGGGGUUGGAAAGAUUUUUUGGUCUGGGAUGGGCUCGCGGCCUAUCAGCUUGUUGGUGAGGUAAUGGCUCACCAAGGCGUCGACGGGUAGCCGGCCUGAGAGGGUGACCGGCCACACUGGGACUGAGACACGGCCCAGACUCCUACGGGAGGCAGCAGUGGGGAAUAUUGCACAAUGGGCGAAAGCCUGAUGCAGCAACGCCGCGUGAGGGAUGACGGCCUUCGGGUUGUAAACCUCUUUUAGCAGGGAAGAAGCGAAAGUGACGGUACCUGCAGAAAAAGCGCCGGCUAACUACGUGCCAGCAGCCGCGGUAAUACGUAGGGCGCAAGCGUUAUCCGGAAUUAUUGGGCGUAAAGAGCUCGUAGGCGGUUUGUCGCGUCUGCUGUGAAAUCCCGAGGCUCAACCUCGGGCCUGCAGUGGGUACGGGCAGACUAGAGUGCGGUAGGGGAGAUUGGAAUUCCUGGUGUAGCGGUGGAAUGCGCAGAUAUCAGGAGGAACACCGAUGGCGAAGGCAGAUCUCUGGGCCGUAACUGACGCUGAGGAGCGAAAGGGUGGGGAGCAAACAGGCUUAGAUACCCUGGUAGUCCACCCCGUAAACGUUGGGAACUAGUUGUGGG